GAUGAACGCUGGCGGCGUGCCUAAUACAUGCAAGUCGAGCGAACAGACGAGGAGCUUGCUCCUCUGACGUUAGCGGCGGACGGGUGAGUAACACGUGGAUAACCUACCUAUAAGACUGGGAUAACUUCGGGAAACCGGAGCUAAUACCGGAUAAUAUAUUGAACCGCAUGGUUCAAUAGUGAAAGACGGUUUUGCUGUCACUUAUAGAUGGAUCCGCGCCGCAUUAGCUAGUUGGUAAGGUAACGGCUUACCAAGGCAACGAUGCGUAGCCGACCUGAGAGGGUGAUCGGCCACACGAGAACUGAGACACGGUCCAGACUCCUACGGGAGGCAGCAGUAGGGAAUCUUCCGCAAUGGGCGAAAGCUUGGCGGAGCAACGCCGCGUGAGUGAUGAAGGUCUUCGGAUCGUAAAACUCUGUUAUUAGGGAAGAACAAAUGUGUAAGUAACUAUGCACGUCUUGACGGUACCUAAGCAGAAAGCCACGGCUAACUACGU
This 496-nucleotide ribosomal RNA is filed under the name uncultured bacterium. RNAcentral's name for it is "partial 16S ribosomal RNA". It matches the Rfam family "Bacterial small subunit ribosomal RNA", at positions 28 to 506 of the family's 1533-position model. The record is from RNAcentral.